AUUACGCGAAGACCUUACCAGGGCUUGACACCCUGCGAACCUCUGGGAAACCGGAGGGUGCCUUCGGGAACGCAGAGACAGGUGGUGCAUGGCUGUCGUCAGCUCGUGUCGUGAGAUGUUGGGUUAAGUCCCGCAACGAGCGCAACCCACGUCUUUAGUUGCCAGCAUUCAGUUGGGCACUCUAGAGAGACCGCCGGUGACAAACCGGAGGAAGGUGUGGAUGACGUCAAGUCAUCAUGCCCCUUACGUCCUGGGCUACACACGUACUACAAUGCUACGGACAAAGAGCAGCGAGCUCGCGAGAGUCAGCAAAUCUCAUAAACCGUGGCUCAGUUCAGAUCGUAGGCUGCAACUCGCCUACGUGAAGGAGGAAUCGCUAGUAAUCGCAGGUCAGCAUACUGCGGUGAAUACGUUCCCGGGUCUUGUACACACCG
RNAcentral lists this ribosomal RNA (434 nucleotides) under uncultured bacterium. RNAcentral describes it as "bacterial SSU rRNA". It matches the Rfam family "Bacterial small subunit ribosomal RNA", at positions 956 to 1392 of the family's 1533-position model. The record is from RNAcentral.